RNAcentral lists this ribosomal RNA (108 nucleotides) under Cebus imitator (Panamanian white-faced capuchin). The record is from RNAcentral. Lineage: Eukaryota; Metazoa; Chordata; Mammalia; Primates; Cebidae.
UCCAUGAGCCGUAGCAGCCUGAAGGUGCCUGGGCCCAGAAGCUAAGCAGGGUCCAGCUUGAAUGAGGCUUGGAUGGGGGACCACCUGAGGAGACCAGGGCUGGAGGCU